CCUACGGGGUGCAGCAGUGGGGAAUAUUGGACAAUGGGCGAAAGCCUGAUCCAGCCAUGCCGCGUGUGUGAAGAAGGCCUUCGGGUUGUAAAGCACUUUCAGUGGGGAAGAAAGCCUUGGGGCUAAUACCCUCGAGGAAGGACAUCACCCACAGAAGAAGCACCGGCUAACUCCGUGCCAGCAGCCGCGGUAAUACGGAGGGUGCGAGCGUUAAUCGGAAUUACUGGGCGUAAAGCGCGCGUAGGCGGUCUGAUAAGCCGGUUGUGAAAGCCCCGGGCUCAACCUGGGAACGGCAUCCGGAACUGGCAGGCUAGAGUGCAGGAGAGGAAGGUAGAAUUCCCGGUGUAGCGGUGAAAUGCGUAGAGAUCGGAAGGAAUACCAGUGGCGAAGGCGGCCUUCUGGACUGACACUGACGCUGAGGUGCGAAAGCGUGGGUAGCAAACAGGAUUAGAUACCCGUGUAGUC
RNAcentral lists this ribosomal RNA (465 nucleotides) under Vreelandella stevensii. Its description in RNAcentral is "partial 16S ribosomal RNA". It matches the Rfam family "Bacterial small subunit ribosomal RNA", at positions 338 to 795 of the family's 1533-position model. Lineage: Bacteria; Pseudomonadati; Pseudomonadota; Gammaproteobacteria; Oceanospirillales; Halomonadaceae. The record is from RNAcentral.